RNAcentral lists this transfer RNA (74 nucleotides) under Streptomyces nymphaeiformis. Its description in RNAcentral is "Streptomyces sp. SFB5A tRNA-Pro". It matches the Rfam family "tRNA". From Rfam's summary of the family: Transfer RNA (tRNA) molecules are approximately 80 nucleotides in length. Their secondary structure includes four short double-helical elements and three loops (D, anti-codon, and T loops). Lineage: Bacteria; Bacillati; Actinomycetota; Actinomycetes; Kitasatosporales; Streptomycetaceae. The record is from RNAcentral.
CGGGAUGUAGCACAGCUUGGUAGCGCAUCCACUUGGGGAGCGGAAGACCGCAGGUUCAAAUACUGUCGCCCCUG